CAGCAGUGGGGAAUUUUCCGCAAUGGGCGAAAGCCUGACGGAGCAACGCCGCGUGAGGGAUGAAGGCCUCUGGGCUGUAAACCUCUUUUCUCAAGGAAGAAGAUCUGACGGUACUUGAGGAAUAAGCCACGGCUAAUUCCGUGCCAGCAGCCGCGGUAAUACGGGAGUGGCAAGCGUUAUCCGGAAUUAUUGGGCGUAAAGCGUCCGCAGGCGGCCUUGUAAGUCUGUCGUUAAAGCGUGGAGCUUAACUCCAUUUCAGCGGUGGAAACUACAAGGCUUGAGUGUGGUAGGGGCAGAGGGAAUUCCCGGUGUAGCGGUGAAAUGCGUAGAUAUCGGGAAGAACACCAGUGGCGAAGGCGCUCUGCUGGGCCAUAACUGACGCUCAUGGACGAAAGCCAGGGGAGCGAAAGGGAUUAGA
Molecule: ribosomal RNA, 418 nt
Filed under: uncultured cyanobacterium
Lineage: Bacteria; Bacillati; Cyanobacteriota
Description: bacterial SSU rRNA
Rfam family: Bacterial small subunit ribosomal RNA
Source: RNAcentral